CCCCAUGCGAGAGUAGGGAACUGCCAGGCAU
This 31-nucleotide non-coding RNA is filed under the name Escherichia coli. Lineage: Bacteria; Pseudomonadati; Pseudomonadota; Gammaproteobacteria; Enterobacterales; Enterobacteriaceae. The record is from RNAcentral. RNAcentral also lists the same sequence under 1 other name.